GCGUGGGGGCUUAUCAUGGGGUCCCACACUCCUGAGAAGAGGGAGGGGGAAGAAUGUAGAAUGUUCCCCGCACAUCCUAUCAUUGACAACUUGCAUUAUAAAAGCACCAGAGGUAUGAAUGUAAUAACCAGAAUCAGAAGCUUCCUGCUCACGGAUAUGAGGGGGAGAUGGACCAAAAUAGCCUCACAGCACUAAUAGCAGACUCUGGGAAGCCACCCCUUCUCCUCUGGAGCCCCUUUAUACACACCUCUUCUAAGUAAUUUCCAACCUUUUGUUGACUCACAAAAAGAAGAAGAAUAGAAGUUACUGGCGUUUGUAGUAACAGGAUGAGAAAGUACGAGACUUCCUGUUGUGUGUGUGACAGCUGGUGAUAAGUGGAGGGCUCUGCACAGGAAAUCCGCUCAACUUCUGCAAUGUGACCUGCCUGAAACUUGGGCGCUCCUUCAGUCUGGAUGUUGAUGGCAGGACAGGGGGGCGCCUGGACCAUGGGCGAUGUGGUAGAGAAGAGUUUGGAAGGGCCGCUGGCACCUUCUACGGAUGAGGCCUCCCAGAAAAGAGGAGACCUGGUAGAAAUCUUAAAUGGGGAUAAGGUAAAAUUCGAUGACACGGGACUCUCCUUAAUUCUGCAGAAUGGCCUGGACACCCUCCGCGUGGAAAAUGCUCUGACAGAUGUCAUCUUGUGUGUGGACAUUCAGGAAUUCUCCUGCCACCGCGUGGUGCUUGCCGCGGCCAGCAACUAUUUCAGGGCCAUGUUCUGCAAUGAUUUAAAGGAAAAGUAUGAGAAGAGGAUCAUUAUCAAAGGGGUCGAUGCUGAGACCAUGCACACUCUUCUGGACUACACAUACACCAGCAAGGCGCUGAUCACCAAGCAGAAUGUGCAACGGGUCCUGGAAGCUGCUAACCUUUUCCAGUUCCUGCGGAUGGUGGAUGCCUGUGCUAGCUUCCUAACAGAAGCCUUGAAUCCAGAAAACUGUGUUGGAAUACUGAGGCUGGCAGAUACACACUCCUUGGACAGCCUGAAAAAGCAGGUGCAAAAUUACAUCAUCCAAAACUUUGUGCAGAUUCUGAACUCUGAGGAGUUCCUAGAGCUUCCCGUGGACACUCUGUACCACAUCUUGAAGAGUGAUGAGCUGUAUGUAACAGAGGAGGCUCAGGUGUUUGAGACUGUGAUGAAUUGGGUCCGACACAAACAGGCAGAACGACUCUGCUUGCUCCCCUACCUCCUUGAGAAUGUGCGCUUGCCACUGCUGGACCCGUGGUACUUUGUGGAGACGGUGGAGGCAGAUCCUCUCAUCAGACAGUGCCCGGAGGUCUUCCCGCUGCUUCAGGAAGCCAGGAUGUACCACCUUUCAGGCAAUGAGAUCAUUUCUGAGCGCACCAAGCCCAGGAUGCAUGAGUUUCAGUCUGAGGUAUUCAUGAUCAUUGGUGGCUGCACAAAGGAUGAACGGUUUGUGGCGGAGGUAACCUGCCUGGACCCCCUGAGGCGCAGCCGCCUGGAGGUGGCCAAGCUCCCCAUGACGGAGCAUGAGCUGGAGAGUGAGAACAAGAAGUGGGUGGAGUUUGCAUGCGUGACAUUGAAAAAUGAGGUCUACAUCUCAGGUGGCAAAGAGACACAGCAUGAUGUUUGGAAAUAUAAUUCUUCAAUCAACAAAUGGAUUCAAAUUGAGUAUUUGAACAUAGGCCGCUGGAGGCAUAAAAUGGUGGUAUUAGGUGGCAAGGUCUAUGUGAUUGGAGGUUUUGAUGGCUUACAGAGGAUCAACAAUGUGGAGACCUAUGAUCCCUUCCAUAACUGCUGGUCAGAGGCAGCACCCCUUCUUGUCCACGUCAGUUCCUUCGCAGCUACCAGCCAUAAGAAGAAACUCUAUGUGAUUGGGGGCGGGCCCAAUGGGAAGCUGGCCACAGACAAGACUCAGUGUUAUGACCCUUCAACCAAUAAAUGGAAUUUAAAGUCGUCCAUGCCGGUGGAGGCUAAAUGCAUCAAUGCUGUCAGUUUCCGGGACCGCAUCUAUGUUGUUGGAGGGGCUAUGAGAGCGCUGUACGCCUACAGCCCUCUGGAAGACAGCUGGUGCCUGGUGACCCAGCUCAGCCACGAGAGGGCCAGCUGCGGCAUCGCGCCCUGCAACAACCGGCUCUACAUCACUGGGGGGCGGGACGAGAAGAACGAGGUCAUCGCCACGGUGCUGUGCUGGGACCCCGAGGCCCAGAAACUGACGGAGGAGUGUGUCCUGCCCCGGGGGGUGUCGCACCACGGCAGUGUCACCAUCAGGAAAUCUUACACCCACAUCCGGAGGAUCGUGCCCGGAGCCGUGUCGGUGUGACUGCGGGAGGGCGGAGCCACGGGGGCGCGGGGCGAGGUGCCAGGAGACCUCCCUCCUCACCUGUUGCCCGGGUUCGUCCCACUUCAGACAGCAGGCUGGGCUGGAGCUACAGGCCACACACCUGGGUUCCCCGCGGCUCCGCAUGGGAGCUCCUUUUGGAAGUCACAGCUUUGGGACACCAGCCAGGAAUGUUUGUGCGACCUACCUCAGGAGGGAAGAAGAGUAAUAUGUAACAUUCAGGACAGACCUGUCCCCUGCCAGGUUCUGUGCCAAGCACUUUUGUGUAUCAAUUUGUUUAACCACCAUAAUGACCUGGUCACCGGACAUUAUCACUUCUGUUUUACAGCUAUCCCAGCACCAAAGCAUCUCUAAGGGUCUCCUGAUUUCUGAAGUUUGGACAAAGAGCAAAAGAAGAUAUGAGACUUCCUGGCUACAUAUUCUUUGAGACGGUUUGUGGGUAAGGAAACUUUCCUUUUCCCUUAGUAAAACUAACCCGGAUCCUCCAAGUUUGGCAGUGGAGGGAGAAACUCCCCGCGGAGACAGAGAGUUGGAUCUCAUAGUCCCAACUGGUGUCCCUAUAAGGAAAGAGUCCUAUACAUGGCUCUGAAUUUCCCAAAGGACAUUGCAGACCAGGCUGGAACAGCUGAGUAAGACUUUACUGAUGACUGAGAGAUGAUAUAGGGAAAUAAGCACAACAAGGAGCAACGCUCUGGACAAUGAGGAUAAGAUUCAGCUGUCCUUGAAAAGCAGUGUUAUCCAUAGGAGGUGUGUGUGUGUGUGUGUGUGUGUGUGUGUUCGCGUGUGUGUGUACAUGCUGUCAACAAUAAAGCUGGACAUAGUUAAAAUGGAAAAAACAGAUUUUAUACAGUAACUACUGACAGUAGAGAAAAGAGCUGAGCCCCAUUCUGAUUUGUGCACAGCUGACUAGGUGCUUUAAAGGGAAAAUUGAGAAGGGGAGGGGAUGGGGAGCUGGUGGGCACCGAAGUAAAGGCCGGGAUGUGAAAAAUUACAAAACGUUGGUCAGUAAAUGUGAUUAUUCCAGCCGUCUGCUGGCUGGCAGUGUUGAACUUAGGGUUGUAUCCUCCCACAGAGACUGGCAGCCAGGGGCCCUGUACUUCCAGAUUGUUACAUUCAAAGGAUGACUUUCAGGUCCUUGAGAAAGACAUCAUGGGCCAUAAGAGAUACAUACUUAUAUCUCUCAAAGGAACAGAGGAAGGGUUUACAAUCCUAAGCCCUUUUUAGUAAAUGCCCUAAGAAAGGGAGGUUCGGGGCCUAUCAUCAGGUAUUGGUUAGAACAGAUGGCAAAUUCUUUUGACAGUCUUGACCUUUUCCAGACAGAUACACAAAAGGAGGGCUGGUUCACCCCGGGGAUGUGUUCUUAGGCAGCCAUGCUAGGGUUGAUCAAGUCUGUUAAUGCAAGAGUUUGAAUGGAGUGUUCACGUAAAGAAUUUUUGCCAUUUUCAGUGACCCAGGUAUAUUUGCUUCAUGAAAGAGAUACAAUUAAAGGAAUAGGUGUGCUCACCACUUGUACUGCUGGUGGGGAUAUUUUAAGAGUGAACUGCCCGUUUUCUACAACUUAACACAAGCCCACUGUGAGACCAGGAGUGCCAAAACCCCUCCUUCUAGAAUAUUCUAAAGACAACUAAAGAGAAAAAUAAUACUAAAACUUCUUUCAAUGUACAUAGGCCAGAGUGGUGUUCUAAAACAUUUUGGACUAUGUCCCACAGUUUCAAAAUGGAAACACUUUCAAUAUUUUCUGUUCUGUUUUUUAAGUUUUAUUUAUUUAUUUUGAGAUAGAGAGAGAGAGAGAG
RNA transcript from Felis catus (domestic cat), 4129 nucleotides. It is a transcript of the gene named kelch like family member 6, with no coding region annotated. NCBI's taxonomy places the organism in Eukaryota, Metazoa, Chordata, Mammalia, Carnivora, Felidae. The transcript has 8 exons. The record is from RefSeq and is a predicted model, not a curated record.